CUCUACAGCCAUGCCACCCUGAACAAGCCUGAUCCGUCUGAUCUUGGAAGCUAAGCAGGGUCGGGCCUGGUUAGUACUUGGAUGGGAGACCACCUAGGAAGACUGGGUGCUGUGGGCG
RNAcentral lists this ribosomal RNA (118 nucleotides) under Pteropus alecto (black flying fox). The record is from RNAcentral. Lineage: Eukaryota; Metazoa; Chordata; Mammalia; Chiroptera; Pteropodidae.